Long non-coding RNA from Sapajus apella (tufted capuchin), 1078 nucleotides. RefSeq lists it as uncharacterized. The transcript has 2 exons. Lineage: Eukaryota; Metazoa; Chordata; Mammalia; Primates; Cebidae. The record is from RefSeq and is a predicted model, not a curated record.
UUUGUACUACUGCACUCCAACCUGGUAACAGAGUGAGACUCUGUCUCCAAAAAAAAAAAGAAAAAAAGAAUCAUGAAUAUUUUAGAACUGAAAAGUAUGCUUGAAAUUAUUUGAUGGGUUUAAUAACAGGCUGCAUACAGCAAAAGAUAGGUUAGUGAAUUCAGAGACAAAUUAGUGUAUAUAUGGAAACCUAGGUACCAAGAGCAAAAGAAAUUGAAGUAUGGAGGGGCCAGGAUAAAGAGAGGAGAGUGCAGAAGAUGUGAGAUACAGUUCAGGCUGGAUGUGGUGGCUCACGCCUGUAAUCGCAGCUCUGUGGGAGGCGAAGGCAAGAGGAUCACAUGAUCCCAGAAGUUUAAGACUAGCCUGGACAACAUAGCAGACCUUAUCUCUAUCAUUAAAAGAAGAAAAAGAAAAAAGAAUGAUAGAGUCUGAAGAAUUAAUGUUUAUUAUUAGAGACUCAUAAGAGAAUGAAUGGAGGAGGACUGAUACUUGAAUAUAUAAUGGCUAAAAAGACUUCAGAACAAAUAAAAAGAUACCAACUCACAAAGCAAGAAAGACAGAGCAAGCAUGGGCUCAACACUUUGGGAGGCCGGGGUGAUAGGAAUGCCUGAGGCCAGGACUUCAAGACCAGUCUGGGCAAAAUAGCCUUUAAUGAAAAACACACAAAAAGAGAACAGAUCCAAAUUUAUACAGAGAGAAAACCACACUCGGGUAUGUUAUGCUUAAUCUCUUAUAAACUAACACCUUAAAAGCAGACCUAGAGGGUGGGGGUGAAGGUAGAGAAGAACAAUAACAAAGCUGAUGGCUGAGUUUUCAACAAAAAUGAUAAAAACCAAAGACAAAUACAAUAACAUUUCGAAAUUGUAAAAGAAAAACUGCCUCUCUAGAAUUCUCUGUCCAGUAGAUAUUACUUUCAAAAUUGAAGGUGAAAUAUAGAGGUUUGUAGAUCUUCCAAUGUAGAGAAGUUAUCACUAGUACACAGUUUAAGAAAAAAAAGUAAAGGAAUGUCUUCAGCAUGAAGAAUAAUGAUCCCAGAUGAAGGCACAUGUCUCCGUGAAGGAAUAAGGAGCAGAGAAAA